RNAcentral lists this ribosomal RNA (479 nucleotides) under uncultured bacterium. RNAcentral's name for it is "partial 16S ribosomal RNA". It matches the Rfam family "Bacterial small subunit ribosomal RNA", at positions 355 to 815 of the family's 1533-position model. The record is from RNAcentral.
UGGGGAAUAUUGCACAAUGGGCGCAAGCCUGAUGCAGCCAUGCCGCGUGUGUGAAGAAGGCCUUCUGGUUGUAAAGCACUUUCAGCGAGGAGGAAGGUGGUGAGCUUAAUACGCUCAUCAAUUGACGUUACUCGCAGAAGAAGCACCGGCUAACUCCGUGCCAGCAGCCGCGGUAAUACGGAGGGUGCAAGCGUUAAUCGGAAUUACUGGGCGUAAAGCGCACGCAGGCGGUUUGUUAAGUCCCCAGAUGUGAAAAUCCCCGGGCUCAACCUGGGAACUGCAUUUGAAACUGGCAAGCUAGAGUCUCGUAGAGGGGGGUAGAAAUUUCCAGGUGUAGCGGUGAAAUGCGUAGAGAUCUGGAGGAAUACCGGUGGCGAAGGCGGCCCCCCUGGACGAAGACUGACGCUCAGGUGCGAAAAGCGUGGGGCAGCAAAACAGGAUUAGAUACCCUGGUAGUCCACGCUGUAAAACGAUGUCGA